ACGGGAGGCAGCAGUGGGGAAUAUUGCACAAUGGGGGAAACCCUGAUGCAGCGACGCCGCGUGAGUGAAGAAGUAUUUCGGUAUGUAAAGCUCUAUCAGCAGGGAAGAAAAUGACGGUACCUGACUAAGAAGCCCCGGCUAACUACGUGCCAGCAGCCGCGGUAAUACGUAGGGAGCAAGCGUUAUCCGGAUUUACUGGGUGUAAAGGGCGUGUAGGCGGGACAUCAAGUCAGAUGUGAAAGCACGAGGCUCAACUUCGUGUCUGCAUUUGAAACUGACGUUCUUGAGUGUUGGAGAGGCUAACGGAACUCCUAGUGUAGCGGUGAAAUGCGUAGAUAUUAGGAAGAACACCAGUGGCGAAGGCGGUUAGCUGGACAAUAACUGACGCUGAGGCGCGAAAGCGUGGGUAGCAAACAGGAUUAGAUACCCUGGUA
This 434-nucleotide ribosomal RNA is filed under the name uncultured Oscillospiraceae bacterium. Its description in RNAcentral is "bacterial SSU rRNA". It matches the Rfam family "Bacterial small subunit ribosomal RNA", at positions 341 to 792 of the family's 1533-position model. The record is from RNAcentral. Lineage: Bacteria; Bacillati; Bacillota; Clostridia; Eubacteriales; Oscillospiraceae.